This is a long non-coding RNA of Cyprinus carpio carpio, 1458 nucleotides long. NCBI's taxonomy places the organism in Eukaryota, Metazoa, Chordata, Actinopteri, Cypriniformes, Cyprinidae. The record is from Ensembl.
UUUUUAUAGUAAAAUUUAGUAUGAUCGCAUAUUUUUUCUUAUAUGUUAAUAAGCACAGGUCAGAAUAAGUGUGCUGUUUCAUUUUUCACAAAUAUAUCCGUCAAGCUGAAUGAGGAUCAGCAUUAUUUCAGCCAUAUUUUUACAGUUUGUUUUCACAGACGUUAUUUGAAACAUUAAAGUGGACACCUGACUUGCACUGAUUCCAGUGUGUAUAAAAUCACUAGAUUAGACGUGACACUCGUUUUGUCUUUGACCCAUAAUAACUCUGAACAAAUGAAGCAGCUAAGAACCGCUAGUUAUGAUGAAGGAGUGUUUCUGAGUUGGCCUGUGUUUGGCACGCUUGCAGCAGCAUCCACGAUCACACGGACUCGCACUGCUUCCUGAAGCUGCUCCAGGGUCAGCUGAAGGAGACGCUGUUCGACUGGCCUGACCGCAAGCUGCAGGGGGGCAUGCAGCAGAAGUCCCAGCGCGUGCUGCUGGAGAACCAGUGCGCCUACAUCAACGGUGAGAGGAGCGGCGUGAGUCCUGAUCAGUCAGAGCCUUGGGUCUGAAGUGUCUCUGACCGGAUUCACUCGCUGUGUGUUUCAGACUCCAUCGGCCUUCAUCGAGUGGAGAACGUGAGCCACACGGAGACCGCCGUCUCUCUGCACCUCUACAGCCCUCCCUUCCAGACGUGCCAGACCUUCGACCAGCGCACCGGUCACCACAACACCGUCAAGAUGACCUUCUGGAGCAAGUUCGGCGAGAGGACGCCGUAUGAAUCCACCGUUUCGCAGGAGAACAACUGAGAAGCACAACAAGAUUUCCACAUUAAAUUGAUGUUUAAAACUUGAUCCAACUCUUUAAGAUUCACAACGGACAGCGGGAAGAGUUAAUUCAAGCUGCUUAAUCGUGGCCUAGUUUAGCGCUGGCAGACGAGGCUGCAUUAGUUGAGCCGCGUGUCAAUCUGCUCUUUGUUGUUGAGAGGAGCCCGUUCUCCCAGCAUUCCUGUGUGUCUGUGACCUGUGUAAUCACGCUUUUGUACUGUUACGGGAUGAGAGCUGUGGCCAUGAGAAUCUGUUUGUCCGCUCGAAUGAAAGCGCUGUCCUCCGUCAACGACAUCCCGCUUCAGCAGAACUCCAUCAGUGUGUUUGAUCAUCGCCAGCCUCUCAUCUCCACACACUCGCGCUUUUAUUACAUUUCCAGAUGAGCGUUUGAAUGGAAGAGUUUAUUUGUAUGAAUCUUACCGUCAGUAAUCGAUGUCUCAUGGAAUAAAUAUGGUCUCUGCAUUUGUAAACUGGAGCUUUUAUUUAAAAUGGACCUGAAUCUUUCCUGGAAAUUCAUUUUUGUGUUAAUGUUGAAGUACAUAAAAUAUUUCCCAAAUGUUGUUGUUUUUGUUUUUAUUUUUGUGUGUGUGUGUGUGUGUGAGUGAGAGAGAGUGAGUGUGUGUGUGUGUGUGUGUGUGUAUGUGUGUGUGUG